AGUGCAUACUUUCAGGGCAGAAGGUCUGCAUACACCAAGCUCUCAAAAGUCAAGGUUUGUCCAGAUCACCAACACCUUCAGAGCUGAGUGUAUACUGUGAAAUACAUUUUUAAACAGGUAGUUUUCAGUUAAUUUUUUUGUCUCUAAUUUGUUUACAUUUAGAACUAUUGAAGGAAGACAGGACUCUAGUCAGCUGGCAGCUGUUAAUGGCAUUGAGUGACAUGUUGUAAGUCAUUUCUGCCAUUUAUUCAUAUCCCCAGGACCAAGACUUAACCCCAAGGAGAAGGCUGGAUCGGAGCUUGAAACGUCAGGAUAGCUGGUCAAGUUCAUAUACAAGUAAACAGGAGGAAGAAGCAUCUCUUAACCAUCACACCUUGCUGGGAGACCUGUCCUCCAUGACCAGCAGUAAAACCAGACCCCAAGAUGGGUUCAGUAUGCUGCUGCGUCGUCAUGGAGGCUCCAGACGGAACUCCCUUCUGCGCUGGUGUCAGAGUCGCACACAGGGCUAUGCAGUGAGGGGGGCAGGCUGCUGCAUGACACUGAGAGGACUAAAGACUGUAGCAGAGGGGAUGUGGGGGUUAUUCUUUGUUCAGUGCUUAGUAGUCUUGUCUCUGGUCAGACAUAUACUGUAUAUUCUGUACAUAAGAUUUACAGAAUUUCAGCAGGAAUGUUUGAUGUAA
Molecule: long non-coding RNA, 680 nt
Filed under: Scleropages formosus (Asian bonytongue)
Lineage: Eukaryota; Metazoa; Chordata; Actinopteri; Osteoglossiformes; Osteoglossidae
Description: lncRNA (ENSSFOG00015026982.1)
Source: RNAcentral